GCUGUCUUUGGAUACAUAAAAUAGUGGAGAAUCACCAUGAAGUUGAAUAAAUUUCAUAGGAGUUAGGGUGAAGAAGUUAUCCCACUUUCAAAUCAGGUGAUCCCAGUUAUCCUGUUUGGGAAUAUGACAACUUCUUCGUCAUUCUAAUCAAACCAGGAUGAAUCACCAAGAAGUUGAAUAAAUCUCAUAGGAGUUAGGAUGAAGAAGUUAUCCCAUUUUCAAAUCAGGUGACCCCAGUUUUCCUGUUUGGGAAUAU
Molecule: long non-coding RNA, 256 nt
Filed under: Brassica napus (rape)
Lineage: Eukaryota; Viridiplantae; Streptophyta; Magnoliopsida; Brassicales; Brassicaceae
Description: long non-coding RNA (BNAP_LNC017858)
Source: RNAcentral